GGAUUAUAAAAAAGAAAAGGGAAGGUGAUGACUUGAGAGUGGAAAGAUGGCAGCGUCACCUCAGUUCGGAAGAGUGGAAUACUCCCAUGCUUCGUUUCCUACAAAAUCAAAGCCCUGGUGCAAGUGUCCUGAUGAGGAUACCUCCCAGCCUGCUUGCAUACGUGAGAUAAAUGAAAAUCACUGGGAGGGGCUGCCAGGAAGCUCCCGUGACCUUCCCUCUUUCUCCUGCUUCUAGUCUGGAGCUCUUCUGGGGUGGUUCGACCUCAAGCAGAAAUCGUCGUCAGUCUCAGGAUAAUCAAAAAUGGAAACACAUGCUAAGAUUGCCAGAGCAGAAAGAUGGAUGAAAUAUGGGGCCCUGGUGACUGAGGAGCUGCAAUGACUGCCCUAGUCCUGACUCUGGACUUGACAAGAGAAAAAUAAGCUUCUAUAAUGUGCAUGCCACUGUCAUUCUGGGAUUCUGACGUAGCAGCUGAAUGCAUAUCCUGGCACAAAUAUGUUAUAAAAAAAGAUACUUUGCAGACAAUGUCAUAUAUACAUGUAUAUA
Suricata suricatta (meerkat) is the source of this 544-nucleotide long non-coding RNA. RefSeq lists it as uncharacterized. NCBI's taxonomy places the organism in Eukaryota, Metazoa, Chordata, Mammalia, Carnivora, Herpestidae. The transcript is spliced from 3 exons. The record is from RefSeq and is a predicted model, not a curated record.